Long non-coding RNA from Talpa occidentalis (Iberian mole), 564 nucleotides. RefSeq lists it as uncharacterized. The transcript is spliced from 4 exons. NCBI's taxonomy places the organism in Eukaryota, Metazoa, Chordata, Mammalia, Eulipotyphla, Talpidae. The record is from RefSeq and is a predicted model, not a curated record.
UUCAUUGGUCAUUUUGAAGACGAUAUUUCUCAUUUGUCGCACAGCUCCCCAGAUGAUUCCAUAGUGCAGCCAGUUCUGAGACUCCCUUGGAUAGAAAGACACCUGGGAUGCUUUGAGACCAUAAAGAGACUCCUCUCCUGCCUGAUAAGCUUCCAAAUGCUACUAAUGGGAGGUAACACAUAAGCUGAAUCUUGACAGAAAUUGCCACACAGAGAGGUAAAGCUACUUGUCCAAAAUCUCAAAGCUGGAAUACCGGAGAGCUGGGGAUUCAAACUCAGAAAGUCUGAUUCUAGGCUCUGUUCUGCUGCCCCCUGGGACAAGGAACCAGUUCUGACAACAGGAGUUGGCUGGCAAACAAGGGCAUUGUUGUGAAGUCAAACACAACAAAACCAAAGGACAACUACAAGCCUAUGCAGAGAUAAGAAUUUAUUGGGGAAAUUAAUUUGUCUGCUGGCCAUGAACUGGGCAACAGAGCAAAGCGAGCCUUGUACAAGUAAAAUUCUGUCCACAUUCUAAUGGCUGUAACACUCACCCUAUGAAACUAAUAAAGGGUGCAUAAAACAU